CCUGACAGUAUCUCUGCAGCAUAAUUAUUUGGUGGUAAGCCUAUUUUCCUCGCCUUUUAUUUGGUUAAUCGUCCGUAUCUUCAACUGAUCUGAAGAUUUGUUUAUAGAAUCAUUUUUGGAAAAGAUCGCCUUUACUGAUCUGAAGAACACUUGACCUACAACGUUUUUACAUAGUCAGUGGAACUAAAUUGAAAGAAAUCCUAUAUAUUUUUUCUCUGUAUUUGCGUUUCAUUAGCAACUUUAUCUCUCAUUUUCCUUACCGGCGAAUCGUCGGUUUCGAGAUUGCUAGACACACGCCGACAUUAGCAGCUGGGUUUUGGGUUCCUCUUUUAGCUGUACUGACAAAGGUUUUAUUAGCAUAGAUCUAGGAAGUUAGCUCUCUAGAACAUUCGCCAUUGCCAAAAUAUUCGAAGCUCUCAACGGCCGGUAACUACUUCAGUGUCUGCAAGUAUACACACACAUACACUUCUUGCAUUUUACUUUUCUCAUAUUUGAAUUUGAACUGACUUACGUUGACUAAGAGGAGAAGGUUAACAUUAGCUAACAGGUCUUAUAGUAGCUAAACCCAAGUUCUUUUUCCCCUGAAAAUCGCUCUUGUUCUGUGAUUCUUAGGCUUCCAUUUCUUGUUUCUGUUCAAGAUUUUUCUGGGUUUUGCUUAUCAUUACAGUUCGCUUCUGUAAAAGGGAUCUGGUUUUCUGGAACCCAUAACAGCCACCCGCCGCUAUACGUUUUGAAAAGAGCAAUAUUUGUUCUCUGUUUCCGUUGAAAUUGAAAGAGAGCAACGUUUCUGCAGUGGUGCAUCUGUUUCAAUUGAAAAAGAGCAAUUGUUUUGCUCUGCUUCUUUGCUUACUAGUGGUAGCGGUGAUAGCUCCUUCUGGUUUUUGGGUCGUGGUAUUUUCUGUGUUUUUAGGAAUUCUCGGAGUAUUGGAGACAAGUUGGGCGCACGAGCACUGGCAAAGGAGAGCAACCUGAGCGAGUGUCAGCAAGGGUGGUAGGAAGUGGGCGGGAGCGUACAACUACAUCGAGCACAGCAAAUCAGCCACAGGUUUUGUUAUCGGGAGUUGGUACCUCCUGUUUUACUGUUUCCCUUUUGGUGUUAGCUAA
Molecule: long non-coding RNA, 1104 nt
Filed under: Nicotiana tabacum (common tobacco)
Lineage: Eukaryota; Viridiplantae; Streptophyta; Magnoliopsida; Solanales; Solanaceae
Description: long non-coding RNA (NTAB_LNC005397)
Source: RNAcentral